Molecule: ribosomal RNA, 332 nt
Filed under: uncultured Alphaproteobacteria bacterium
Lineage: Bacteria; Pseudomonadati; Pseudomonadota; Alphaproteobacteria
Description: bacterial SSU rRNA
Rfam family: Bacterial small subunit ribosomal RNA
Source: RNAcentral
CCAUAUCGGUCUGGAAUAACAUGAGGAACUGUGCUAAUACCGGAUAAGCCUUUACAGGGAAAGCUUUAUGCUCCGAUUGAUGAGUCCACACUUGAUUAGUUAGUUGGUGAGGUAAUAGCUCACCAAGACAAUGAUCAAUAGCUGAUUUGAGAGGAUGAUCAGCCACAUUGGGACUGAGACACGGCCCAGACUCCUACGGGAGGCAGCAGUGGGGAAUCUUGCACAAUGGGGGGAACCCUGAUGCAGCGAUGCCGCGUGAGUGAAGAAGGCCUUUGGGUUGUAAAGCUCUUUCGUCGGGGAAGAAAAUGACUGUACCCGAAUAAGAAGGUCCG